Molecule: long non-coding RNA, 1232 nt
Organism: Grus americana (Whooping crane)
Lineage: Eukaryota; Metazoa; Chordata; Aves; Gruiformes; Gruidae
Exons: 6
Source: RefSeq, a predicted model, not a curated record
CGGACGGUAGCGCCUCCCUAGGGCGCUCCCUGAGGCGCCGGUACGGCGGCCUCACUGAGGUGCCCCGCAAGGCAUCGUCCCUGCUGCCGGUCCCACCCGUCAGAGAGCGGCUGAGUGGUGCCAGUGCCCGCCACAAUGGGAGAUGAUCCGCUCUUUCUGCAGCUGCAGAUGUGAGUUAGCCAAUUAAUGAUUUACAGUGUUUUGAAGCCAGAGGGGAAAAGAAGUCUUCAACCAAAAGUUUGUAACUUUAAAAACAGAUGAGAAACAGUCCUAAUUUUGAGCAGAGGCAGAACAGCUAACACCAAGACAUAGGCUGGGAGGAGAGAAGAAACAGAAGCUCAGAUUGUCUCACCUCAGGCAAUUUAGGAAGCAACACUAAAAAUUUUUCCUCCAGUCCUGGCUGACACAGUAAGAUCUUUCACUACCACAGCUGUCCAGAGUCAGCAUUUGCCCACAACCUCAGAAAUUCUUCAGUGAAGUCUAGGACAAGCCACAAAACUAAGUGAUUUCAGUCACCACGGUUUUUAGGAAAUCAUUUCCAUGCUGCAUCGAUGCCUCCAGAAUGAGCUUCCUAUGCCAGGUCAGGCAUGACUACAUGACUUCAUGCUGCGACAGGAAAAUAACAGUUCGACUGAACACAAGAGAAGAAAGCUGCAAUACUUUGUACAUCUGAACGCUUUGAACCACUGUCAAAAAGACCUGAGCAAGUACAGCUGAGAACCAACUGCAGGACUGGUUAUUCCCUGUUGUGCCACGUUGGUCCCAUUUCUGAAAGGAAACACCCGUUUAAACAUGUGAACCAAACAUUAAGUGUAUGCAGCUUUAUUUGGGGGUCCACAGAUAUAUAUACACUUUUUCUACUGGUUUGCUCCUGCAAAAGCCGUUGUACUACUAGGAAUCCAUAUACUACAUGCACUACAUUAUAAAAUUAGAAACAAGAUCCUUGAUUUUUAGAAUCAAUGUUUUCUUUAGCUAAGUCAAGAUAAAUGCAAAGUAAAUACAAUAAUUAUGCCAAGAUUUUACAAUUGUUACUUGAUCCAUUUUAAAUAAAGCUAAUAGCUAAGGCAACUAUGAUUUUAGAACAUUUAGUCUGCUACCUGAUCAUUGGACAACAAAGCUGUUGCGUGCUUCAGUUUAAAAGCCACCUUUUUGUAAAACAAAACAAAAAGAACACAAAAAAAAAUAAUCCCAUGUGCCUUAUCACUUCAUCAUCUGGGCACCUUCACAUUUUU